GACGAACGCUGGCGGCGUGCUUAACACAUGCAAGUCGAGCGGUAAGGCCCUUUCGGGGGUACACGAGCGGCGAACGGGUGAGUAACACGUGGGUGACCUGCCCUUAGCUCUGGGAUAAGCCUGGGAAACUGGGUCUAAUACCGGAUAUGACUCCAUGACGCAUGUUGUGGGGUGGAAAGCCUUGUGCGGCUAGGGAUGGGCCCGCGGCCUAUCAGCUUGUUGGUGGGGUGAUGGCCUACCAAGGCGACGACGGGUAGCCGGCCUGAGAGGGCGACCGGCCACACUGGGACUGAGACACGGCCCAGACUCCUACGGGAGGCAGCAGUGGGGAAUCUUGCGCAAUGGGCGAAAGCCUGACGCAGCGACGCCGCGUGGGGAUGACGGCCU
This 387-nucleotide ribosomal RNA is filed under the name uncultured bacterium. Its description in RNAcentral is "bacterial SSU rRNA". It matches the Rfam family "Bacterial small subunit ribosomal RNA", at positions 28 to 417 of the family's 1533-position model. The record is from RNAcentral.